UUCUGUUUUCAUGAACUUAAUGUUUAUGAAUGUAAAAGAUGGAAAGCAAAAUUCAACUCUGUUACACUAAUACAUCCCUAUUGAUGCAGUGGUAUAAAUGAGGCUAGAAUUUGACUUUGUUAAUACUGUCUAGAGAUGUUCAUGCUGCAAGAUAAAUUAUAUACGCUUUCAAACAAUGCUGCCAAUGCUCUCCUUUAUCUUACAAAACCUCUGCUGUUGCAACAUGAAACAGAGCCUAUUUUCUAAUGAUUUAAUGCUGACAAACAUGCACGAGAAAUAUUGGUUAGUAGCACCAGAUUCAUUUGUUUAUUAAGCCAGGUUUGAUGCUAAAUGUCUAGUGGCUAAAGGAUAAUAGCUUCUGAUGGAACAAAACAUCUGACGUCUGGUACAUUGUUAAAACUCUAGGAAACUUUCUAAGGAUCCAGCUUGGUAAUGAAUAUAGUUUAAUGAGCCAUAACAUACAGCAUUGUAUGUUAUUAAAAUUAAUCUGUUUACCUUUAUUUUAUUAUAUUGCAUCUGUUUCAACCUAUUCUGCUGAAGCAUAUAGCUGUUUGUAGGUUUUCAAAGAAGCAAACAAGUGGUCAAAGAGAGAAUAGUGAGGUUAUUUUCUAUUGUUUCUCAAUGCAAUAAAUCCCUUAUGCAAUUUGAGCCUCCAAACAUUAAAGUCUACUACAUCAUCCAGGAUACCGAUUAGAUUUAUAGUGAACCCUGUACCAAUUGAACUUACAAUGCUCAGUGGUCAUCUGUAGAGUGACAUGGAGUUAAAGAGAUUUAGAAUAAGAAUGUAUUAAAUGCUGUAAUGGUUGGUUGUUAGUUUUGUUUUUUUUUAAACUUUCAUGAAACUUUCAUUAAAGUAGCUAUAGUGUGAAUGUGAACCUACGAAAGCAAGGAAAUACAAUAGAAAUGUAUCAGAUGUCCCACCAAUUCCUUAUCAACUUAAUCAUCAUGAAACAUAUAAUGAGAGCUGACUAUUUAAAUUUCAAACACAUUUGGCCUGUAUAUUGGAUGACUUGGUAAAUUUCUUUCUUUGGCCUGCAUUUUCUUGUAUUUGUCAGUAUAAGUCAUAAUCUUGAUAAUGUUUGAAUUGGAGUUGGUUGAAUAGUCAGAAAAAAUCCUAAAAUAUUUACACACAUAUACAUGUAUAUACUGUAUAAUGUAUUUGACGAAAAUCAUUCCACCAUCUAUACAUCUGGCAAAUGGUUGGGAAAAAUGCACAAAUAAUUGAGAGGAACGGACAAGCUUAAUGAAUAUUAUUCAAUAACAUCUAAUUAUAAUGUUUAUUUCGUAUGCGAGUUUAUUUUAAGUUUGUAUUAGGGUAUCACAUGCCUUACAAUAAAUAAUGCAGGUGAUUUUCGCUCUAACAUUGUACCUCAAUUAAUUCAAACUGAUCUAAUCACAAAUUUAAGUCAACAUACUUAAAUCAGCUUAUUAUGAAUUUAGCUUUUCCACAUGGUUAAAAUAUAAGAAUUUUUAGAAAGAGAUUCUCUAUCUGCCUGUUGUCCUUUAUUUCUUCUAUAUGCUGGCCCAGUAUCUUCAAAUCCAAAGCCCAGUGAAUCUAGUUAUGUUAGUCUUCAGCUUUGGCUGUACCUCCUAUUUGGAAUCAUAAGCAAGUUUUUGUGAUUCUGCAUUUAUAUUCUCAUCUAAACCUUUCUGGCUUUUUACAGCCUCAGUAUUAAAUUACAUUGUGAUCUCAUGUGUUUACUCCACAGGUCCAGAUGCUGUAGAAUUUUGAUGCAUCUGGGAUUUCCCACUGAGCUACAGUAAGGUCUUAUUCCUAUCCACUCCCAACUAAAGCAUCUGGAAGAUUAAGCAGCCAGAUUCCCUGGUCAUACUACAUUUCUCAUCAUGUGCCAUGGUCUCUCUCAAUAGUAAAGGAAGGCAGUUGCAUCAUGGGAGAUGUAGUCUGGCUGGGGAGCCCAAUCUAUUGAAGAGAAUGGGGAUGAGGUGACUGAACUACAACUUUCACAAGGCACCAUGAUGAUACUUCUGAAUCAUAUUUUAAU
Dermochelys coriacea (leatherback sea turtle) is the source of this 2003-nucleotide long non-coding RNA. RefSeq lists it as uncharacterized. Lineage: Eukaryota; Metazoa; Chordata; Testudines; Dermochelyidae. The transcript has 3 exons. The record is from RefSeq and is a predicted model, not a curated record.